RNAcentral lists this ribosomal RNA (253 nucleotides) under uncultured bacterium. RNAcentral's name for it is "partial 16S ribosomal RNA". It matches the Rfam family "Bacterial small subunit ribosomal RNA", at positions 524 to 776 of the family's 1533-position model. The record is from RNAcentral.
UACGUAGGGUGCAAGCGUUAUCCGGAAUUAUUGGGCGUAAAGAGCUCGUAGGCGGUUUGUCGCGUCUGCUGUGAAAACCCGAGGCUCAACCUCGGGCCUGCAGUGGGUACGGGCAGACUAGAGUGCGGUAGGGGAGAUUGGAAUUCCUGGUGUAGCGGUGGAAUGCGCAGAUAUCAGGAGGAACACCGAUGGCGUAGGCAGAUCUCUGGGCCGUAACUGACGCUGAGGAGCGAAAGCGUGGGGAGCGAACAGG